Ailuropoda melanoleuca (giant panda) is the source of this 176-nucleotide long non-coding RNA. RefSeq lists it as uncharacterized. The transcript has 4 exons. NCBI's taxonomy places the organism in Eukaryota, Metazoa, Chordata, Mammalia, Carnivora, Ursidae. The record is from RefSeq and is a predicted model, not a curated record.
GUCUACCAAGGGUGUGGUGGAGGACCUUGGCAAGAAAGCACUGUGGCCCAACACAUCCAGGGUGGCCCCAGCACCAUGGGGAAGUGAUGCCUUGGAGGAAGACUUCAAUCCCACCAAAGGAGACAGAGCCAGAGGCACACCUCUCGCCGUGGUGACCCCAGCAACCAGCGGAUGUG